This 656-nucleotide ribosomal RNA is filed under the name Rickettsia japonica. RNAcentral describes it as "bacterial SSU rRNA". It matches the Rfam family "Bacterial small subunit ribosomal RNA", at positions 773 to 1427 of the family's 1533-position model. Lineage: Bacteria; Pseudomonadati; Pseudomonadota; Alphaproteobacteria; Rickettsiales; Rickettsiaceae. The record is from RNAcentral.
CAGGAUUAGAUACCCUGGUAGUCCACGCCGUAAACGAUGAGUGCUAGAUAUCGGAAGAUUCUCUUUCGGUUUCGCAGCUAACGCAUUAAGCACUCCGCCUGGGGAGUACGGUCGCAAGAUUAAAACUCAAAGGAAUUGACGGGGGCUCGCACAAGCGGUGGAGCAUGCGGUUUAAUUCGAUGUUACGCGAAAAACCUUACCAACCCUUGACAUGGUGGUCGCGGAUCGCAGAGAUGCUUUUCUUCAGCUCGGCUGGAUCACACACAGGUGUUGCAUGGCUGUCGUCAGCUCGUGUCGUGAGAUGUUGGGUUAAGUCCCGCAACGAGCGCAACCCUCAUUCUUAUUUGCCAGCGGGUAAUGCCGGGAACUAUAAGAAAACUGCCGGUGAUAAGCCGGAGGAAGGUGGGGACGACGUCAAGUCAUCAUGGCCCUUACGGGUUGGGCUACACGCGUGCUACAAUGGUGUUUACAGAGGGAAGCAAGACGGCGACGUGGAGCAAAUCCCUAAAAGACAUCUCAGUUCGGAUUGUUCUCUGCAACUCGAGAGCAUGAAGUUGGAAUCGCUAGUAAUCGCGGAUCAGCAUGCCGCGGUGAAUACGUUCUCGGGCCUUGUACACACUGCCCGUCACGCCAUGGGAGUUGGUUUUACCUGAAGG